RNAcentral lists this ribosomal RNA (416 nucleotides) under uncultured prokaryote. Its description in RNAcentral is "bacterial SSU rRNA". It matches the Rfam family "Bacterial small subunit ribosomal RNA", at positions 355 to 776 of the family's 1533-position model. RNAcentral also lists the same sequence under 1 other name. The record is from RNAcentral.
UGGGGAAUAUUGCACAAUGGGCGGAAGCCUGAUGCAGCGACGCCGCGUGGGGGAUGACGGCCUUCGGGUUGUAAACCUCUUUCAGUGCAGAACGAGGCUCUUCGUGGGUCGAGGGUAUGCGCAGAAGAAGCGCCGGCUAACUACGUGCCAGCAGCCGCGGUAGUACGUAGGGCGCGAGCGUUGUCCGGAUUUAUUGGGCGUAAAGAGCUCGUCGGCGGUUUGUCGCGUCUGCUGUGAAAUCCUCUGGCUUAACUGGGGGCGUGCAGUGGGUACGGGCAGACUGGAGUGCGGUAGGGGAGACUGGAAUUCCUGGUGUAGCGGUGGAAUGCGCAGAUAUCAGGAGGAACACCGGUGGCGAAGGCGGGUCUCUGGGCCGUUACUGACGCUGAGGAGCGAAAGCAUGGGGAGCGAACAGG